AGUGAACGCUGGCGGUAGGCCUAACACAUGCCAGUCGAACGGCAGCACAGUAAGAGCUUGCUCUUACGGGUGGCGAGUGGCGGACGGGUGAGGAAUACAUCGGAAUCUACUUUUUCGUGGGGGAUAACGUAGGGAAACUUACGCUAAUACCGCAUACGACCUACGGGUGAAAGCAGGGGAUCUUCGGACCUUGCGCGAUUGAAUGAGCCGAUGUCGGAUUAGCUAGUUGGCGGGGUAAAGGCCCACCAAGGCGACGAUCCGUAGCCGGUCUGAGAGGAUGAUCAGCCACACUGGAACUGAGACACGGUCCAGACUCCUACGGGAGGCAGCAGUGGGGAAUAUUGGACAAUGGGCGCAAGCCUGAUCCAGCCAUACCGCGUGGGUGAAGAAGGCCUUCGGGUUGUAAAGCCCUUUUGUUGGGAAAGAAAGGCAGCAGGUUAAUACCCCGCUGUUCUGACGGUACCCAAAGAAUAAGCACCGGCUAACUUCGUG
This 492-nucleotide ribosomal RNA is filed under the name uncultured bacterium. Its description in RNAcentral is "partial 16S ribosomal RNA". It matches the Rfam family "Bacterial small subunit ribosomal RNA", at positions 29 to 507 of the family's 1533-position model. The record is from RNAcentral.